Molecule: ribosomal RNA, 465 nt
Filed under: Diogenes laevicarpus
Lineage: Eukaryota; Metazoa; Arthropoda; Malacostraca; Decapoda; Diogenidae
Description: partial large subunit ribosomal RNA
Source: RNAcentral
AUAUCUGGUUUUCUAAGAAACAAAUUUAAUUUGGAUUUAAAAUAUAACUUUUUUAUAAUUUAGAAGAUUAGGUUAAUUCUUUAUUUUCAAAUAAUGAACUUUAUGCAGAGCCCUAAUAUCCUAACACUAUUAAAAUAGGCCCAAUAGUAGCCAAUUUAUUUAAGUAUUUUUACUAAAACAAUCCCCGAAUUCUAUUUAACAGCUCUCAACUUAAUAUUAGAAAAUUAUUUUAAACAACUCAAAGUAAGUUUUUAUCAAAUUAUUAGUAAAAUUUUAUUAUUAAAUGAAUCUUCAUUUCAUUUUUAAAAAUUGUUUACAAUAUAAAAUUUCAUUUAAAGAACUAGGCAAAUCCUAUUCUCGCCUGUUUAACAAAAACAUCUCCUAGUGAACUCAAAUACUAGGUCUAACCUGCCCACUGACAAUAGUUUAACGGCCGCGGUAUUUCUGACUGUGCCAAGGUAGCAU